RNAcentral lists this ribosomal RNA (789 nucleotides) under uncultured marine bacterium. RNAcentral describes it as "bacterial SSU rRNA". It matches the Rfam family "Bacterial small subunit ribosomal RNA", at positions 14 to 794 of the family's 1533-position model. The record is from RNAcentral.
UGAUCCUGGCUCAGAUUGAACGCUGGCGGAAUGCUUUACACAUGCAAGUCGAACGGCAGCAUAGAGAGCUUGCUCUCUGAUGGCGAGUGGCGAACGGGUGAGUAAUAUAUCGGAACGUGCCUAGUAAUGGGGAAUAACUAGCUGAAAGGUUAGCUAAUGCCGCAUACGACCUACGGGUGAAAGCAGGGGAUCUUCGGACCUUGCGUUAUUAGAGCGGCCGAUAUCUGAUUAGCUUGUUGGUGGGGUAAUGGCCUACCAAGGCGACGAUCAGUAGCUGGUCUGAGAGGACGAUCAGCCACACUGGAACUGAGACACGGUCCAGACUCCUACGGGAGGCAGCAGUGGGGAAUUUUGGACAAUGGGGGCAACCCUGAUCCAGCCAUUCCGCGUGAGUGAAGAAGGCCUUCGGGUUGUAAAGCUCUUUCGCAAGAGAAGAAAACUUGCUAUCUAAUAAAUAGUAAGUAUGACGGUAUCUUGACAAGAAGCACCGGCUAACUACGUGCCAGCAGCCGCGGUAAUACGUAGGGUGCAAGCGUUAAUCGGAAUUACUGGGCGUAAAGCGUGCGCAGGCAGUUUUAUAAGUCAGAUGUGAAAUCCCCGAGCUCAACUUGGGAACUGCGUUUGAAACUAUAAGACUAGAGUGUGUCAGAGGGGGGUAGAAUUCCAAGUGUAGCAGUGAAAUGCGUAGAGAUUUGGAGGAAUACCAAUGGCGAAGGCAGCCCCCUGGGAUAACACUGACGCUCAUGCACGAAAGCGUGGGGAGCAAACAGGAUUAGAUACCCUGGUAGU